AUGAAUCAAGAUCAACAGGUUGAUGAUAGGAAACCGGCACACGUUGUGUUCUCGAAGUACACCAUGAUCAGAAUAGAUAAGCUUGUGCAUUCUCCUGUUCAGGUGUACAAUCCAACCAAGAGGGGCAACUCGGACGGAUCCCACGAGCGCGCCGCCGCCCCUUCCUCUUCUGAUCCUCCUCCCCUCGCCGCCGCCAAUGGAUGCCUCCGGUCUAAGGCCGUGGGGCUGACGGCAGUGGCGGGUCCUCAUCCUCCUCGCGCACUGAUGGCGGCGGGGGGCCCAUCCCCCUCGCGUUGCGGGAUCUCCGGCCGGAGCUCCAUGGUGGCCCUGGACGGCAUGGUUCUUACGACGGAGAUGGGCGACGGGGCGGCCGUCCCGGAUUUCUCCGGCGACCACAACUGCCGUUGUGGCCGCGAGGGUAGCACGGUGUCUGGUUCGGGGGGCUCAGUGCGGCUCAGCUACUCAUCUCCAUUUCUGGAUCGGAUGAGAUUCGGUCGUGUGCGCCCCGAUUUCAGCCCGAGUGGCUUCUGGAGGGUCCAAAGCCACACUCUUUAUUCGUCCUCCGUGUGGCUCUCUUAUCCUUUCUCACCACCAUCGCGGCCCUUACCACCCCGGCAAUAUCCCCAUUCUUGUUAUUGCAUGCAUGCGGUUGCUGCCCCACCUUGCAAUCCACCACAGAUACCAUACUUUCAUUGUGUCAUCGUGCAUAAAACUAAGACAUGGUUUCCAAUGUUGAACCACAAACAUGACCUCUCCGUGGCUGCUCUUGUGUCCCUAGAAGCUUUGCCACACAACCUUAACCACUUUAGAGAGGUAUAUCCUCCCUCCGCUAUGUUACCGUCACAGAAUCAUCGGUGGUUCUGCCACACUUUUUUGAAGGACGUAUCGGAAGACAUGACAUAUCAAGCGAACCGGCACGCCGCCUCGAGGUCACUUGGCAAUUUUUGGGAGCAAGCGGGGCCCGCCCGUCAGGUGCCGACGUGGCAUGUUUUUUUACAGAAAACCCCCGCCCUCGCCCUCGCCCUCGCCCUCUCGCUCCGCGCCCGCCUCGCCGCCCUCCGUCGCCGCUCGCUGCCGCCGUUGCCUCUCCUCCCCGUCCCCUUCCGGAGCGGCGCGGUGGCUGUGCGCAUGGCUUCGUCGGACGCGGGGGCGGCGCCUCAGCUCGGCUCCACCGUGGAGGUGCCCGGCGCGGCGGGGCCCGUGCGGGUCGUGGCGGCGGCGGGCCUCCCCGAGGCGGACUUCAGGAAGGCGCUGGAGUCGGCGCUGUUCAGGCGGUGGCUGGAGAGCCUGCAGGCGGAGAGGGGCCUGCUCGCCCGCGGGAAGCUCAGCCUCUGCCAGAUCCUCAUCCAGGGGGUGGACAUGUUCGGGCAGCGCGUGGGAUUCCUCAAGUUCAAAGCCGACAUCGUCGACGAGGAGACCAAGGCCAAGCGUUUGGGUGCAAAUAGGAUAGAACAGGGGAGGAGCUGGGAUAGACCAAGUCCGCCUCGGGGAGGCCCGCCGCUGCCACGACCCGCACGGCCCCGCCGCGCCGGGCACCUCCACGGUGGAGCCGAGCUGAGGCGCCGCCCCCACGUCCGACGAAGCCAUGCGCACAGCCACCGCGCCGCUCCGGAAGGGGACGGGGAGGAGAGGCAACGGCGGCGGCGAGCGGCGACGGAGGGCGGCGAGGCGGGCGCGGAGCGAGAGGGCGAGGGCGAGGGCGAGGGCGGGGGUUUUCUGCAAAAAAACAUGCCACGUCGGCACCUGACGGGCGGGCCCCGCUAG
RNAcentral lists this ribosomal RNA (1764 nucleotides) under Triticum aestivum (bread wheat). RNAcentral describes it as "partial small subunit ribosomal RNA". Lineage: Eukaryota; Viridiplantae; Streptophyta; Magnoliopsida; Poales; Poaceae. The record is from RNAcentral.